Molecule: long non-coding RNA, 440 nt
Filed under: Theobroma cacao (cacao)
Lineage: Eukaryota; Viridiplantae; Streptophyta; Magnoliopsida; Malvales; Malvaceae
Description: long non-coding RNA (TCAC_LNC006237)
Source: RNAcentral
GUGACACGUGAGCCCACAUCUAUCCAAAAUGCAUCGGAAGUUGGAAACCUACAGCUUUUACCGAUUCGAGUCCAAAUGAAGGUCCUUGUCAAAGUCAGCUAACUAUGGAAUUCCUCGAGCCUGAAAUGUGAGGAAAUGAGGGUGGUGAGAUUAUAAAAUCCUAGUGAGUAAACAGAUACCAUCUAAACUAUCUAAAGUUGAGUAAAUGGAGACAAUUAAAAUAAAUCAUCAUACUAUAAUUUCAUUACCUUUCAACUCAUUUCAACCAAAUAAAAUCAAUCCAUAAAAAUCGAAUAAUCAACUUGGCUUAUGAAUUUCUUAAAAUUUUGGCUCGUGCCAAAACUCAUACUCGGUGAUACCUUGCGCAGGGCAUCCAACCGAGUCCGUCAAGGCUGUUAAAAUUUUGUAUACACUUAAAAUAUAUUUUUAGUUUGAGAAAA